This 258-nucleotide ribosomal RNA is filed under the name Comamonas sp. April_TSA2D1. Its description in RNAcentral is "partial 16S ribosomal RNA". It matches the Rfam family "Bacterial small subunit ribosomal RNA", at positions 1086 to 1346 of the family's 1533-position model. Lineage: Bacteria; Pseudomonadati; Pseudomonadota; Betaproteobacteria; Burkholderiales; Comamonadaceae. The record is from RNAcentral.
CCCGCAACGAGCGCAACCCUUGCCAUUAGUUGCUACAUUCAGUUGAGCACUCUAAUGGGACUGCCGGUGACAAACCGGAGGAAGGUGGGGAUGACGUCAAGUCCUCAUGGCCCUUAUAGGUGGGGCUACACACGUCAUACAAUGGCUGGUACAAAGGGUUGCCAACCCGCGAGGGGGAGCUAAUCCCAUAAAGCCAGUCGUAGUCCGGAUCGCAGUCUGCAACUCGACUGCGUGAAGUCGGAAUCGCUAGUAAUCGUG